RNAcentral lists this long non-coding RNA (845 nucleotides) under Chloebia gouldiae (Gouldian finch). RNAcentral describes it as "Erythrura gouldiae (Gouldian finch) lncRNA (ENSEGOG00005002693.1)". The record is from RNAcentral. Lineage: Eukaryota; Metazoa; Chordata; Aves; Passeriformes; Passeridae.
UCCAGUCACACGCAUAGACUCAGACCGCUGAGAGGAGAUUAACAUCAAGGAGUCCACAUUUGCAAUAGCGGGUGGUGCUGGGGGGAGAGGCGAGGGGAAAAUAAAAUAAAAGCAACAAUCGGGUAAAUGCUCCUCUCUUCUCGCCACCAGCACCUUGCACAGUGAACUGGAAGAUGGAGAUGGAUGUUAAGGGAGUUUCUCCGUGCCCGGAGCCCAUCCCCCCGGCGGCGGGGUCUGGCGGCUGCCCGCACCAGCGCCCGCACCACCGCGAUGGGCAGCCCGCGGAGCCGGCCCCCGCCGCCGACAGCGGCCACCCGGAGCGGAGGCACGGCAGUGAGAAAGAGGACAAAAAGGCAUCUACACUGAAGCAUUCUGGAUUUCAUUUGGCAUGGUGCCUGUGACCAAUUACAAAAUCUGAUGCUGAAGCAACUUCUAGAGGUGGUGGAAGACCUAUGGUUGUGGAUCCUUUGCACAUUUAAGUGUUAUUGUGUGUGUCUGUUUGACCAUGGUAGGAUAUUUAAUGUAUCAUAGAAACAAGUUUUGUAUCUCCAUUUUCAGUGUCCCUCUCCUCAUAGAGCCUUCCUUUCAAACAUAUUUUCCUUUGUUUGAGCCUUUAAAAAAAGAAGAAAAAAAACCCCAAACCUUGAAAAAUUGUAACACUCUAUGAAAAAUAUGCACUAUUGUCAUCUUCUGGGGAAAAGGGGAACUUUACUGUGUCCACUGUUGUUGUAAGAGUAAUGUGGUGUACAGCAUGCUAAGUAACUGCUCAAAUGUCAGUGUGAAUUCAGAAAUCCUCAGUAGAGGAAAGAAAUAAAUAUUUUUAUUUUCUCUAAAAGCUUCCCUGU